Molecule: transfer RNA, 72 nt
Filed under: Taenia asiatica
Lineage: Eukaryota; Metazoa; Platyhelminthes; Cestoda; Cyclophyllidea; Taeniidae
Rfam family: tRNA
About the family: Transfer RNA (tRNA) molecules are approximately 80 nucleotides in length. Their secondary structure includes four short double-helical elements and three loops (D, anti-codon, and T loops).
Source: Rfam by way of RNAcentral
GGCUCAGUGGUCUAGGGGUAUGAUUCGCGCUUCGGGUGCGCGAGGUCCCGGGUUCGAAUCUCGGCUGGGCCC